UGUAGGAGUGAGCCUGCUCGCGAUAGCGGUGUGUCAGUUAAAGAUGAAGUGACUGACAGGGCGCUAUCGCGAGCAGGCUCACUCCUACA
This 89-nucleotide unclassified non-coding RNA is filed under the name Pseudomonas granadensis. Lineage: Bacteria; Pseudomonadati; Pseudomonadota; Gammaproteobacteria; Pseudomonadales; Pseudomonadaceae. The record is from RNAcentral.